Molecule: ribosomal RNA, 253 nt
Filed under: uncultured bacterium
Lineage: Bacteria
Description: partial 16S ribosomal RNA
Rfam family: Bacterial small subunit ribosomal RNA
Source: RNAcentral
UACGGGGGGGGCAAGCGUUGUUCGGAAUUACUGGGCGUAAAGGGCUCGUAGGUGGCCAACUAAGUCACACGUGAAAUCCCUCGGCUUAACCGGGGAACUGCGUGUGAUACUGGAUGGCUUGAGUUUGGGAGAGGGAUGCGGAAUUCCAGGUGUAGCGGUGAAAUGCGUAGAUAUCUGGAGGAACACCGGUGGCGAAGGCGGGUCUCUGGGCCGAUACUGACGCUGAGGAGCGAAAGCGUGGGGAGCGAACAGG